Molecule: ribosomal RNA, 459 nt
Filed under: uncultured bacterium
Lineage: Bacteria
Description: partial 16S ribosomal RNA
Rfam family: Bacterial small subunit ribosomal RNA
Source: RNAcentral
CCUACGGGAGGCAGCAGUGAGGAAUAUUGGUCAAUGGUCGGGAGACUGAACCAGCCAAGCCGCGUGAGGGAUGAAGGUACAGAGUAUCGUAAACCUCUUUUGUCAGGGAACAAAGGCGGGGACGCGUCCCCGGAUGAGUGUACCUGAAGAAAAAGCAUCGGCUAACUCCGUGCCAGCAGCCGCGGUAAUACGGAGGAUGCGAGGUUUAUCCGGAUUUAUUGGGUUUAAAGGGUGCGAAGGCGGUCUGUAAAGUCAGCGGUCAAACCCCGGGGCUCAGCCCCGGCCCGCCGUUGAAACUGGCAGUCUCGAGUUGGAGAGAAGUAUGCGGAAUGCGCGGUGUAGCGGUGAAAUGCAUAGAUAUCGCGCAGAACUCCGAUUGCGAAGGCAGCAUGCCGGCUCCACACUGACGCUGAGGCACGAAAGCGUGGGUAUCGAACAGGAUUAGAUACCCGUGUAGUC